CGGACGGGUGAGUAACACGUGGAUAACCUACCUAUAAGACUGGGAUAACUUCGGGAAACCGGAGCUAAUACCGGAUAACAUGUUGAACCGCAUGGUUCAACAGUGAAAGACGGUCUUGCUGUCACUUAUAGAUGGAUCCGCGUCGCAUUAGCUAGUUGGUAAGGUAACGGCUUACCAAGGCAACGAUGCGUAGCCGACCUGAGAGGGUGGUCGGCCACACUGGAACUGAGACACGGUCCAG
This 241-nucleotide ribosomal RNA is filed under the name uncultured Staphylococcus sp. Its description in RNAcentral is "partial 16S ribosomal RNA". It matches the Rfam family "Bacterial small subunit ribosomal RNA", at positions 99 to 334 of the family's 1533-position model. Lineage: Bacteria; Bacillati; Bacillota; Bacilli; Caryophanales; Staphylococcaceae. The record is from RNAcentral.